RNAcentral lists this ribosomal RNA (441 nucleotides) under Vibrio campbellii. RNAcentral describes it as "bacterial SSU rRNA". It matches the Rfam family "Bacterial small subunit ribosomal RNA", at positions 78 to 515 of the family's 1533-position model. Lineage: Bacteria; Pseudomonadati; Pseudomonadota; Gammaproteobacteria; Vibrionales; Vibrionaceae. The record is from RNAcentral.
AACGAUAACGGCGUCGAGCGGCGGACGGGUGAGUAAUGCCUAGGAAAUUGCCCUGAUGUGGGGGAUAACCAUUGGAAACGAUGGCUAAUACCGCAUGAUGCCUACGGGCCAAAGAGGGGGACCUUCGGGCCUCUCGCGUCAGGAUAUGCCUAGGUGGGAUUAGCUAGUUGGUGAGGUAAGGGCUCACCAAGGCGACGAUCCCUAGCUGGUCUGAGAGGAUGAUCAGCCACACUGGAACUGAGACACGGUCCAGACUCCUACGGGAGGCAGCAGUGGGGAAUAUUGCACAAUGGGCGCAAGCCUGAUGCAGCCAUGCCGCGUGUGUGAAGAAGGCCUUCGGGUUGUAAAGCACUUUCAGUCGUGAGGAAGGUAGUGUAGUUAAUAGCUGCAUUAUUUGACGUUAGCGACAGAAGAAGCACCGGCUAACUCCGUGCCAGCAGC